RNAcentral lists this ribosomal RNA (441 nucleotides) under uncultured bacterium. RNAcentral's name for it is "partial 16S ribosomal RNA". It matches the Rfam family "Bacterial small subunit ribosomal RNA", at positions 338 to 795 of the family's 1533-position model. The record is from RNAcentral.
CCUACGGGGGGCAGCAGUGGGGAAUAUUGCACAAUGGGGGGAACCCUGAUGCAGCGACGCCGCGUGGGUGAAGGAGUAUUUCGGUAUGUAAAGCCCUAUCAGCAGGGAAGAACAAUGACGGUACCUGACUAAGAAGCACCGGCUAAAUACGUGCCAGCAGCCGCGGUAAUACGUAUGGGGCGAGCGUUAUCCGGAUUCACUGGGUGUAAAGGGAGCGUAGACGGCCAUGCAAGCCAGGGGUGAAAGCCCGGGGCCCAACCCCGGGACUGCCCUUGGAACUGCAUGGCUGGAGUGCGGGAGGGGCAGGCGGAAUUCCUGGUGUAGCGGUGAAAUGUGUAGAUAUCAGGAGGAACACCGGCGGCGAAGGCGGCCUGCUGGACCGCGACUGACGUUGAGGCUCGAAAGCGUGGGGAGCGAACAGGAUUAGAUACCCCAGUAGUC